GAUGAAGAACGUAGCAAAAUGCGAUAAGUAAUGUGAAUUGCAGAAUUCAGUGGAUCAUCGAAUCUUUGAACGCACAUUGCGCCCGCCAGUAUUCUGGCGGGCAUGCCUGUUCGAGCGUCAUUUCAACCCUCAAGCACAGCUUGGUGUUGGGACUCGCGUUAAUUCGCGUUCCCCAAAUUGAUUGGCGGUCACGUCGAGCUUCCAUAGCGUAGUAGUAAAACCCUCGUUACUGGUAAUCGUCGCGGCCACGCCGUUAAACCCCAACUUCUGAAUGUUGACCUCGGAUCAGGUAGGAAUACCCGCUGAACUUAAGCAUAUCAAUAAGCGGAGGA
Molecule: unclassified non-coding RNA, 332 nt
Filed under: soil metagenome
Description: partial contains 5.8S ribosomal RNA, internal transcribed spacer 2, and large subunit ribosomal RNA
Rfam family: 5.8S ribosomal RNA (bases 1-120)
Source: RNAcentral